Molecule: long non-coding RNA, 2578 nt
Filed under: Phaseolus vulgaris (common bean)
Lineage: Eukaryota; Viridiplantae; Streptophyta; Magnoliopsida; Fabales; Fabaceae
Description: long non-coding RNA (PVUL_LNC000029)
Source: RNAcentral
GCAGCAGGAGCUUCUGCGCCUUUUUUCUCUGUUCUUCAGUUCUUUCGAUUCUCGUUCUCUUCUCAUCGACUCAACCACGUCCUCUCUAUACAUGAAAUCCUUCAUUUCUACGAGAUCGUCGUCGCCGUACAACACGUCUCCCAGGUAUUCCUCACACUCUCUCAUCCUUCUGUCACAAAACCCUCGCACUUCUCUCUAUGAUCUUCUUCUCUCUAUGAUCUUCUUCGCACUUUUGGCUAUUAUCUUCUUUGCACUUUUCGCUACGAUCUUCUUUGCACUUUUCGCUACGAUCUUCUUCGCACUCUCAACCUUCAUUCCUUACUGUUAUUUAUAUGUGGCUUUGUUAUCUUUUUGUACACAGAUGAUAUAUGAUAUGCAAAAUCUUAACAGAAAAACUUUAAUCAAAUCACAGAGAAUCAACAGAGCAUGAAUCUGGUUUCACUUUAGAAAGAUACAUAAAUUCUAUCAUUAUCUUACUUUUAUAAAUUAAUUCAAGUUAUAGUUUCAUUGUUUUUUUGUUUAAGAUAAAAGAUAACAUAUUAAAAGGUACUAGUAUGUGUUUGUUAGUUAUAGCUUUUAUCAUUUGUGUGUGUAAUUUAUACUAUAAAUAAUAUUGUACUUUUUAUAAAUUCUAACGUGUUGUAUAUUUAUAAAUGUUUUAGUUAUUAUAGAUUUUAGUAUGAUAAUUAUUAAAUCUAUAAUAAUAUAUAAAGAGAUAUACCUCUUUAUAUAUAUAAUUUAUUAUAGUUUUAUUCCCUAAAUAUUUAUUUUUUUAAAUUCAAAUGAUUUAUUCACAAUAAAAAAAUUAUUUAAUUUAUAAUUUUUUAAUAAAAAUAUUUUAUAAUUAAUAAUAUAUUUUUAUUUGAAUAGUUAUUAUACUAAUAAUAAUUUUUUUGUCAAGAGAAAAAAGUGUAAAGUAUUUACAUUAUUCAUUUUUAAUAAAUAAAACUGAUUUAUUUUAAAAUAAUUAAAUAACAUUUAUUUAGAAAUAAUGGCUAUAUAUAUAAUAAUUUGUCUGUUAAUAUAUAUAUACUUUGUCCUUUAAUAAAUAAAAUGUAGAUGUUUAUUAAUACAAAUUAAAAAAAAAAUUAAAAUAUUUUAUACAUUUAUCGGAUAAAAGAUAUUAUUAUUUAUUUAAUAAAAUAAAUAGUUAAGUAAAUUCCUUUAUUUUAAAAUAACCAAAUAAUUUAUCUUUUUAAAAAAACGGCUACAUAUAAAUUUUUCAUAUUAUAGUUUUUAUAUAUGUCACAACAUUAUCUUUAAUACUAUUGUUUUUAUGUGUUACAACAUUAGCCGUAGUCCCACUUAAUAUAUCUUUAAGAAUAACAUCAAGUUGUUCCCUAGAUAUACUUCAGCAUGUUAUAUUGUAACACUUACAAUAUUUUAUUUCCUAUUCAAAGCAUUUUUUAAAAUACUUUAUACAUUUAUCAUAUAAAAACAGAAUAUUUUUAUUUAUUUAAUAAAAUAGAUAAUUGCAUAAUUUCUUUUAUUUCAAAAUAAUAAAAUAAUUUAUCUUCUUAAAAAUAACGGUCACAUAUAUAUUUGUCACAACAUUUAUUAUAGCCACAUCUAAUACAUAUGAAGCAUAACAACAAGAUUUUCAUCUAAUAUACUUCAACAUGAUGAAUAUACAUGUUGGUAGUCUCUUCCCAAAUUUUACAGCACUUAUAAAUAUCAGAGAAAUAUAAAUAAAUUAUUAAAAUAUCACAAAUUAAAUUUUAAUGGCAAAAGUAUCCUAUUGACAUUUAUUCUCUCAAUAAAUAUUAAAAAUUUAUUAUGGGAGUAUAAUUUUUUUUUUAAAAAUAUCCUGGCUUGCAUAGAGUACAGAUUAUAGAACAAUUCGGAGAGUGUAGCAUACUUUAUGAUCCUUACAAUCAUUACAAGAUCACAAUUUUGCAUGCAUUGAAAAUGGAUAAAUGAAAUUGAACCUACAAGAUUACAUAAAGUUGAUUACAUGAUAAACCAAACAAAAAAUAAUGUUGAGAUCUAGAAUUUAUAUGUAAUUUAUAAGAACUACAAUUUUUAUAAUGAAUUCAUUUAUUAAAUUAUAUAUAUAUAUUACAAUUUGUAAUUAGUUUUAUGAAUUUAUCAUAUAUUAAACUGAAAAAAAUAUAAUUGUUAUAAAUUUAUAAAUAACAACAUUACAUUAAAAAUAUUUAAAAAAAAAUGUAAACGGAUUCUGCUACUUACAAACAAAUCACUUUUAAAAUUUACACAUCUCACCAGGUUAGGUGAAAAGUAGUUACAGUAGACAGUUUGUUGUAAUAUCUUUUUACCAGGUAGAAGAAUCAAUAAUUUAAGCAUCCUUCAUAAUCAAACAAUGAUAAUGAGUACUUUCUUAUAAUCAAAGCAGAGGAAACAGUAACCCAAUAGUGAUGUGAAUGCUUCAAAAGGAUGAACCUAGGUCUAAAAUUUGAUGUUAAGCAGAGGAAUUGAAGAAGAGCAACAAAGUGAUUGGUAUAUAUAAUUGGUAAAGGGUGAACAGAAAGAAAAGUAAUUUACAGAGUAUGAUGAAGAUUGGGAAUGAAAAGUAAGAAAACGAAAAGCAGAAGGUAUUUUACAAAGUGAAGAAUGUCAG